UACGUAGGUGACAAGCGUUGUCCGGAUUUAUUGGGCGUAAAGCGAGCGCAGGCGGUCUUUUAAGUCUGAUGUGAAAGCCCACGGCUCAACCGUGGAGGGUCAUUGGAAACUGGGAGACUUGAGUACAGAAGAGGGGGGUAGAAUUCCAGGUGUAGCGGUGAAAUGCGUAGAUAUAUGGAGGAACACCAGUGGCGAAGGCGACUUUCUGGUCUGUAAUUGACGCUGAGGCUCGAAAGCGUGGGGAGCGAACAGG
This 253-nucleotide unclassified non-coding RNA is filed under the name uncultured Carnobacteriaceae bacterium. Its description in RNAcentral is "contains 16S-23S intergenic spacer region". It matches the Rfam family "Bacterial small subunit ribosomal RNA", at positions 524 to 776 of the family's 1533-position model. Lineage: Bacteria; Bacillati; Bacillota; Bacilli; Lactobacillales; Carnobacteriaceae. The record is from RNAcentral.